GGGUUGUGAGGUUAAGCGACUAAGCGUACACGGUGGAUGCCCUGGCAGUCAGAGGCGAUGAAGGACGUGCUAAUCUGCGAAAAGCGACGGCGAGGUGAUAUGAACCUUUGACCCGUCGAUGUCCGAAUGGGGAAACCCAGUGCAAUCCGUUGCACUAUCGUUAACUGAAUACAUAGGUUAACGAGGCGAACCGGGGGAACUGAAACAUCUAAGUACCCCGAGGAAAAGAAAUCAACCGAGAUUCCCCCAGUAGCGGCGAGCGAACGGGGAGCAGCCCGGAGUCUGAAUCAGCUUGUGUGUUAGUGGAACGGUCUGGAAAGUCCGACGGUACAGGGUGAUAGUCCCGUACACGAAAACACACUUGCUGUGAACUCGAAGAGUAGGGCGGGACACGUGGUAUCCUGUCUGAAUAUGGGGGGACCAUCCUCCAAGGCUAAAUACUCCUGACUGACCGAUAGUGAACCAGUACCGUGAGGGAAAGGCGAAAAGAACCCCGGCGAGGGGAGUGAAAAAGAACCUGAAACCGUGUACGUACAAGCAGUGGGAGCCUCUUUAUGGGGUGACUGCGUACCUUUUGUAUAAUGGGUCAGCGACUUAUAUUCUGUAGCAAGGUUAACCGUAUAGGGGAGCCGAAGGGAAACCGAGUCUUAACUGGGCGUUAAGUUGCAGGGUAUAGACCCGAAACCCGGUGAUCUAGCCAUGGGCAGGUUGAAGGUUGGGUAACACUAACUGGAGGACCGAACCGACUAAUGUUGAAAAAUUAGCGGAUGACCUGUGGCUGGGGGUGAAAGGCCAAUCAAACCGGGAGAUAGCUGGUUCUCCCCGAAAGCUAUUUAGGUAGCGCCUCGUGAACUCAUCUUCGGGGGUAGAGCACUGUUUCGGCUAGGGGGCCAUCCCGGCUUACCAACCCGAUGCAAACUACGAAUACCGAAGAAUGUUAUCACGGGAGACACACGGCGGGUGCUAACGUCCGUCGUGAAGAGGGAAACAACCCAGACCGCCAGCUAAGGUCCCAAAGUCAUGGUUAAGUGGGAAACGAUGUGGGAAGGCACAGACAGCCAGGAUGUUGGCUUAGAAGCAGCCAUCAUUUAAAGAAAGCGUAAUAGCUCACUGGUCGAGUCGGCCUGCGCGGAAGAUGUAACGGGGCUAAACCAUGCACCGAAGCUGCGGCAGCGACACUAUGUGUUGUUGGGUAGGGGAGCGUUCUGUAAGCCGUUGAAGGUGGCCUGUGAGGGUUGCUGGAGGUAUCAGAAGUGCGAAUGCUGACAUAAGUAACGAUAAAGCGGGUGAAAAGCCCGCUCGCCGGAAGACCAAGGGUUCCUGUCCAACGUUAAUCGGGGCAGGGUGAGUCGACCCCUAAGGCGAGGCCGAAAGGCGUAGUCGAUGGGAAACAGGUUAAUAUUCCUGUACUUGGUGUUACUGCGAAGGGGGGACGGAGAAGGCUAUGUCAGCCGGGCGACGGUUGUCCCGGUUUAAGCAUGUAGGCGGAGGUUCCAGGUAAAUCCGGUACCUUUUAACGCUGAGGUGUGAUGACGAGGCACUACGGUGCUGAAGUGAUAAAUGCCCUGCUUCCAGGAAAAGCCUCUAAGCAUCAGGUAACACGAAAUCGUACCCCAAACCGACACAGGUGGUCAGGUAGAGAAUACCAAGGCGCUUGAGAGAACUCGGGUGAAGGAACUAGGCAAAAUGGUGCCGUAACUUCGGGAGAAGGCACGCUGAUAUGUAGGUGAAGUCCCUGCGGACGGAGCUGAAAUCAGUCGAAGAUACCAGCUGGCUGCAACUGUUUAUUAAAAACACAGCACUGUGCAAACACGAAAGUGGACGUAUACGGUGUGACGCCUGCCCGGUGCCGGAAGGUUAAUUGAUGGGGUUAGCGGCAACGCGAAGCUCUUGAUCGAAGCCCCGGUAAACGGCGGCCGUAACUAUAACGGUCCUAAGGUAGCGAAAUUCCUUGUCGGGUAAGUUCCGACCUGCACGAAUGGCGUAAUGAUGGCCAGGCUGUCUCCACCCGAGACUCAGUGAAAUUGAACUCGCUGUGAAGAUGCAGUGUACCCGCGGCAAGACGGAAAGACCCCGUGAACCUUUACUAUAGCUUGACACUGAACACUGGUCCUUGAUGUGUAGGAUAGGUGGGAGGCUUUGAAGCGUGGACGCCAGUCUGCGUGGAGCC
Molecule: ribosomal RNA, 2170 nt
Filed under: Enterobacter cloacae
Lineage: Bacteria; Pseudomonadati; Pseudomonadota; Gammaproteobacteria; Enterobacterales; Enterobacteriaceae
Description: bacterial LSU rRNA
Rfam family: Bacterial large subunit ribosomal RNA
Source: RNAcentral